RNAcentral lists this ribosomal RNA (253 nucleotides) under uncultured bacterium. Its description in RNAcentral is "partial 16S ribosomal RNA". It matches the Rfam family "Bacterial small subunit ribosomal RNA", at positions 524 to 776 of the family's 1533-position model. The record is from RNAcentral.
UACGGAGGGUGCGAGCGUUGUCCGGAAUCACUGGGCGUAAAGGGCGCGUAGGCGGCCUGAUAAGUAGGGGGUGAAAUCCUGCGGCUUAACCGCAGGGCUGCCUUCUAAACUGUCAGGCUCGAGCACAGUAGAGGCAGGUGGAAUUCCCGGUGUAGCGGUGGAAUGCGUAGAGAUCGGGAAGAACAUCGGUGGCGAAAGCGCUCUACUGGACCGCAACUGACACUCAGGGACGAAAGCUAGGGGAGCGAAUGGG